RNAcentral lists this long non-coding RNA (225 nucleotides) under Physcomitrium patens. Its description in RNAcentral is "long non-coding RNA (PPAT_LNC008587)". The record is from RNAcentral. Lineage: Eukaryota; Viridiplantae; Streptophyta; Bryopsida; Funariales; Funariaceae.
UCAAUCCUAUAGACACCCUUUUAAUUCUUCAAUCACAAACGUAACUCAAUUUCACAAAACAGUCAAGAGUAAUCAAACCCACUUCAUUAAAAAAAUCCCGAUUCACCAUUACAACACUGACUUCAGCAACGAUUGUCUGAGUCUUCCCAAAACCCUAUGAAGAAAAAAAAACCCAAUUCUCUGUCUUCUUUCUCCCGCCCGAAGCAUGAAGCUCUUCUCCCCGAU